Molecule: ribosomal RNA, 428 nt
Filed under: uncultured bacterium
Lineage: Bacteria
Description: bacterial SSU rRNA
Rfam family: Bacterial small subunit ribosomal RNA
Source: RNAcentral
GUCGAGAGGCUUCGGCAAUGGGGGAAACCCUGACCGAGCGACGCCGCGUGAGGGAUGAAGGCCCUUGGGUUGUAAACCUCUUUUGUUGGGGAAGAAAUGCGAUCAGGUGAACAAUCUGGUCGUUUGACGGUACCCGACGCAUAAGCUCCGGCUAACUCCGUGCCAGCAGCCGCGGUAAUACGUAGGCAGCAAGCGUUGUUCGGAGUUACUGGGCGUAAAGGGUGUGUAGGCGGUUCUUUAAGGUUGUCGUGAAAUCUCCCGGCUCAACCGGGAGGGUGCGGCGAAUACUGAGGAGCUAGAGUGCGGGAGAGGAGGGUGGAAUUCCUGGUGUAGCGGUGAAAUGCGUAGAUAUCAGGAGGAACACCGGUGGUGUAAACGGCUCUCUGGACCGUAACUGACGCUGAGACACGAAAGCGUGGGUAGCAAAC